This 1040-nucleotide long non-coding RNA is filed under the name Capsicum annuum. Its description in RNAcentral is "long non-coding RNA (CANN_LNC011540)". Lineage: Eukaryota; Viridiplantae; Streptophyta; Magnoliopsida; Solanales; Solanaceae. The record is from RNAcentral.
GCCGUUGGAGCCACAAUGUCUACGGUACGAUACAUGACCAUACUAUACUUUACGUAGUCUACAAAGCCUCUAGACAAAAAACAUUAUCUUACAAGGGUCGGGACAGGCCCCGCCUCAUGAUAAGAUACUAUACAAUACAAAAAGAUAUGAUAAGACUCAAAGCCCCGAAGCAACCUGGAGCUCAGUGACUGCAGUUGAUAUCCUGUACUCUUACUGGGGAGGUUUAUUAGCUUCUGUACCUGCAGCAUGGAAUGCAGGUCCCCCAAGAGGGACGUCAGUACGAAAUAAUGUACUGAAUAUGUAAGGCAACAUGUACUAUAUAUGAGAUAAAAACUCAAAUGAAACCAUGUACUGCUGUAGGGUAAAAGACCACCUUUAUGAAUAUUGUGGAGUCAUGUAUCUUAUAACAAUUAUGUUACUUUACUCUUAUUGCUUGUAUAAUCUGUGCACAGCAUGUAAUACAGAUGACCAGCUGAUCAGUGGUAAAUCUAUAUCAGGAUCGACCCAUGCUAGGCUUUCCUUUCACCCCUGGGAUACCCCCUGGAAUGCUGGGAUUGACCCAUGCUAGGUGAUUCUUUCACCCCUGGGAUACCACCCAUCAGAAGCAACUGUAGACAUAAAUCUUCUUAUUACUUUUGAGAUGAAUCUUUGGUGGUCGUAACAUUUGAGCUAUAAGACUAUAAGCAUGACAAAUGACAAGUAUGUGUCCAUGUAACAUCAUAUCAUAAUGAAAAGAGUGGGUUGUACAAUUAGUGAAACAUGUAGGACAUAAACAACGUAUGAACUUUAUUUAGCUAAAAAGAAGACUCAUAUGUCAUGGUACCCAAUGUAUGUAUGCAGCAGUGACAAUGCUCGAAUCUGGACACACAAGUACAUGUUAAAGAGUGGAGUGGUUAUGUCAAAGUUUGUAAAGAUCUCUAUGUGCCAAUGAAGACUUUGGAUUCCAUGCCAAAUAAUAAGAGAUCGAAUAGCCUUACAUACCUCGACAUAUCAACUUGUUUUUACGUCGAAAUGACUUCUUUUCUUCCAACUAUUUAUCU